Xyrauchen texanus (razorback sucker) is the source of this 586-nucleotide long non-coding RNA. RefSeq lists it as uncharacterized. NCBI's taxonomy places the organism in Eukaryota, Metazoa, Chordata, Actinopteri, Cypriniformes, Catostomidae. The transcript has 3 exons. The record is from RefSeq and is a predicted model, not a curated record.
GAACAGGAUUAAAAUAUAAAUCUUUCUACAACUGCAAAGACCACUAUAGCCUGUAAACUCAAUAAUAUCUCUGUGGAAAUACAUGUAAAAAUAUCAAUGUCCAUAUAAAAUGAAUAAUAUACCUGACCUGACAUCAAAGUGCAGUGUGAAGGAGAUGUGACCCUAGUAGAUUUCAGGAAAGGGUAUGAAAUCUCCUUUUGUGUUUGUGUGUGUGUUCUGCAGUGCAAAGAUGCCUCGCAAGGAGAGGAUAAAAAACAAAAAAAGAAGGAGCUGCUUGAGUCAGCAAAAGGCAGUGGAUCCCUAUCCAGCUGGUUUAUGAAGAGCACAACAGCUCUUGGUGUGCAGCAGCCUCUGUGAGCAUCUCCCUCUUAUUUUCUUGGAGCAGUCAGCCUUGGCAGUCUCUCAGAUCAACUCUAUUAUUAGCAGCAGCAACAACAACAACAGCAAAGGCAGCAUACUCACUCAAGGAAUUUAGUAAGAUUUUACCAGAACAGGUAUCGCAUUAAUGUAAAAAAUCUGUUGUAUUUGCUGUAAAAUAAAAUUGCUGUAUUUUUUCUGUUUGCUUUGUUUUUGUUUUUAUUAUAUU